AGAGUUUGAUCCUGGCUCAGAACGUACGCUGGCGGCACGCCUAACACAUGCAAGUCGAACGAAGUAGCAAUACUUAGUGGCAGACGGGUGAGUAACAUGUAGGUAUCUGCCCUUUGGCCUGGAAUAACACGAGGAAACUUGUGCUAAUACCGGAUAAGUCUUUACGGAGAAAGCUUUAUGCACCAUUGGAUGAGCCUGCACUUGAUUAGUUUGUUGGUGGGGUAAUGGCCUACCAAGACUGUGAUCAAUAGCUGAUUUGAGAGGAUGAUCAGCCACAUUGGGACUGAGACACGGCCCAAACUCCUACGGGAGGCAGCAGUGGGGAAUCUUGCACAAUGGAGGAAACUCUGAUGCAGCGAAGCCGCGUGAGUGAAGAAGGCCUUUGGGUUGUAAAGCUCUUUCGUCGGGGAAGAAAAUGACUGUACCCGAAUAAGAAGGUCCGGCUAACUUCGUGCCAGCAGCCGCGGUAAUACGAAGGGACCUAGCGUAGUUCGGAAUUACUGGGCUUAAAGAGUUCGUAGGUGGUUGAAAAAGUUGGUGGUGAAAUCCCAGAGCUUAACUCUGGAACUGCCAUCAAAACUUUUCAGCUAGAGUAUGAUAGAGGAAAGCAGAAUUUCUAGUGUAGAGGUGAAAUUCGUAGAUAUUAGAAAGAAUACCAAUUGCGAAGGCAGCUUUCUGGAUCAUUACUGACACUGAGGAACGAAAGCAUGGGUAGCGAAGAGGAUUAGAUACCCUCGUAGUCCAUGCCGUANACGAUGUGUGUUAGACGUUGGAAAUUUAUUUU
RNAcentral lists this ribosomal RNA (784 nucleotides) under uncultured marine microorganism. Its description in RNAcentral is "bacterial SSU rRNA". It matches the Rfam family "Bacterial small subunit ribosomal RNA", at positions 8 to 840 of the family's 1533-position model. The record is from RNAcentral.